Long non-coding RNA from Mus musculus (house mouse), 1411 nucleotides. RefSeq annotates it as predicted gene, 33860. The transcript is spliced from 6 exons. The record is from RefSeq and is a predicted model, not a curated record. Lineage: Eukaryota; Metazoa; Chordata; Mammalia; Rodentia; Muridae.
AACCAUCCUGGCAGGGAAGCUAAGGCAUUCAGCUGUGGAUGUGCCCAAGGAGACAAGCUAUGAAUGUGGACUCUGUGGUGGUGAGGGGAAAGACUCUCCUCACAGAACAAUAAGAACAUGGGCCCUGAGGUGCUUGAAAGAUGCUUAAAGGCUGGUGCUGGGAAUAGCCAUACUCUUCGUUGCCUUCACUCUAGUUAUUACGAUGGAAGUCAAUGCCACUUGGACACAUCCACAUUCAGCACUACUCAUAAAGAUGACUGAUCAUUGCUUUCAGCAUCUGUGUCCUAUGACUCCCUCGAUGCCUGCUUGGAUACAGAAGCUAGGUUCUGCCUGGAUCUAUAAGGAAAUACAAUAUGACCUGAUAUCCUUUAAGACUAGGCAUCAUCUUCAAGCAUGGGUGGAGAAACACCUUCCUGUACUAGAUAACCAAGAUGGUGUGAAUGGUCAAGACUAGGAUUCAAAAAAAAAUGAAGGAAAAGACAGGAGAAUAAAGGGUCUUGCUGUCUGCUGAAGAUCCCUGUCACAGAAGGCCACAGAUGCUACUACAAAGUAAAGGUCAGUGAGAGGGUUAUUGAGACUCCAGAAGCAACCUGAAAGUGUGGUUCACAGAUGGCAAGGCAAGGGAUCCAGAUUCUUAUCUCUGAACAAGAUCAUUAUUAGAUAUUUGCAAAGCUCUCUUCUACUUCAGAAGCAGCACUAUACACACCCUCACUCAAGACUGUUACACCUGUCUCAAAAAACCAUACACCAGCCUUGGCUGGAGAUGACUUUGUGUUGUCUACUACAGGCCCUCCAGAGACAUUGGAAAGAACUCAGCAUAGGUAGUUGGGCUAGAAAGUGUCUGAUGUGUUUCUACUUUGUCACUACUUUUUUCCAUGCCCAAUCACCCCUCUCAAUGUAGCCCUGGGAUAGAAUCAUCCCAUGACCUAACCCUCAGCAUACCAUUGGGGUAUAUUCCCUUCCCUGACUGCUAGCACCAGUUUCCUGGGACAUGUCCAAACAGCAUCAUCAUGUCCUGCUUUUCUGAACUGUUAGGAAAAAGUGUCAUUCCCUGUCUUGACCCAUGGUCUUGAUUCUACUCUCCCAUGACAAACUUGGAGGCCAAUGUGUUUUAGGAAUUGCCAUGGUAUUUGCAUGAUUCUACAAGCCAACUAUCUGUGUGUACAUUAUCUGUAUGUGUGUAUACACAUUUAUCUUUUGAGCACUGGUUCAAAAGACUAAUGUUUAUAUCUGAGAUGUAUAUUGGAUUCUAUAAGAAAACCCUAUAUAUUAUUUCAUGCUCCUUGUUGCAUGCUUUUUUGAUAUGAUAACAAAUGUUCAUUGAGGGAUCAUUUUCUCUGCAGACUAGAAAACUGCUUCUCUACUGGAAAUAUUUCCAAACAUCAUCUAUCAGCCAAAUGUGUCCCGUGUA